CCAGGUUCAAACCUGUUUUUCAGCUUGGGAGAUAGAAAUGCUGGCUUUUAUGCAUAUUUCACUCAUCCCAAGAGCUUGUUCCUUUACCAGUGAACGGCAAAUUCCCAAGUCCAAAGCAGUAACAAGGGGACUCAGUGGGACAGACCCAUGACAAAGACCCACAGGGCCCAGUUCUGCUUUCUGGUUCCUGUGUUUCUACCUCCACUCAGCAUUUACAACCAAUGGGCAGCAAAGAGAAGCAAGCCACGUUUUCCCUCAGUUCCUAGCUGAGAUCUGUGGUGAGAAGGUGACACAAUCUGGCCACAUCCUGUUCUCUACUUGUACCUAUGUAUUCUACAUUCCAGGAAUGCCAUGGCAACCUUUACAGCACAAUGCUAGAAUCAAAGAGUCAUAGAGCACCCCCCAUUGGAAGGGACCCUAAAGGAUCGUUGAGUCCAACUCCUGAAUCAAGUCCUACUCCUAAGAGAGCGUGUUCUGCCCAUUACAAGAUGGAGAUGACAUUGAAAUUGUCUCCUCCUCCAGCUAAACCUUAAUGAGCAGUCGAUACAAGCCCCAAAGUGGCUCUGAGCUCUAGCAACAGAGAGAUGCCAUAAAGCAAGGGUCUAAAUCCAGGCAAACAUGAAUUUUGCAACCAAAGGUGGGACUGGCAAAGCUGUUUUUUUCUUUGCGUCUUGCAUGGAGAAUGGAAGGCCUAGAUGGG
This 700-nucleotide long non-coding RNA is filed under the name Gallus gallus (chicken). RNAcentral's name for it is "long non-coding RNA NONGGAT004981". Lineage: Eukaryota; Metazoa; Chordata; Aves; Galliformes; Phasianidae. The record is from RNAcentral.